AUGGCAGCCCAGGGUCUUCUCUCUGGGAGGCAGCUGCUGGGGAGGCCUCUGCAGUCCUCCAUCUCCAGGUCGUCUUCCUCCCGGAAGUCCCCCUUCGUCGUCAGGGCAUCGUCCAGCCCCCCUGCCAAGCAAAAUGACAACAGGCAGCUGUGGUUCGCGUCCAAGCAGUCCCUCACCUACCUCGACGGCACGCUGCCCGGUGACUUUGGUUUCGACCCCUUGGGGCUGUCCGACCCGGAGGGCACCGGCGGGUUCAUCGAGCCCAGGUGGCUGGCCUACGGCGAGAUCUUCAACGGCCGGACGGCGAUGAUGGGGGUGGUGGGCAUGAUCGCCCCGGAGGCCCUGGGCAAGGUGGGCCUGGUGCCCCCGGAGACGGCGAUCCCGUGGUUCCAGGCAGGCGCGAUCCCGCCGGCGGGCACCUACCAGUACUGGGCCGACCCAUACACGCUCUUCGUGUUCGAGAUGGCGCUCAUCGGCUUCGCGGAGCACCGGCGGCUCCAGGACUGGUACAACCCGGGCUCCAUGGGGAAGCAGUACUUCCUGGGCCUUGAGAAGUACCUCGGCGGCUCCGGCGACCCCGCCUACCCCGGCGGGCCCAUCUUCAACCCGCUCGGGUUCGGGACCAAGAGCGAGAAGGAGAUGAAGGAGCUCAAGCUCAAGGAGAUCAAGAACGGCCGCCUCGCCAUGCUCGCCUUCCUCGGCAUGUCCCUGCAGGCCAUCUUCACCGGCGUCGGGCCCUUCCAGAACCUCCUCGACCACCUCUCAGACCCCGUCAACAACAACAUCCUCACCAGCCUCAAGUUCCACUAG
RNAcentral lists this ribosomal RNA (810 nucleotides) under Triticum aestivum (bread wheat). RNAcentral describes it as "partial small subunit ribosomal RNA". The record is from RNAcentral. Lineage: Eukaryota; Viridiplantae; Streptophyta; Magnoliopsida; Poales; Poaceae.